Molecule: ribosomal RNA, 720 nt
Filed under: uncultured Thelephoraceae
Lineage: Eukaryota; Fungi; Basidiomycota; Agaricomycetes; Thelephorales; Thelephoraceae
Description: eukaryotic LSU rRNA
Rfam family: 5.8S ribosomal RNA (bases 213-367)
Source: RNAcentral
AGGAUCAUUACUGAAUUGUUAACAUGAGUUGUUGUUGGCCCCCAAACAGAGGCAUGUGCACGCUCUGUUUACACAUCCACUCACACCUGUGCACCCUCUGUAGUUCUAUGGCCUGGGUGACUCUGUCCCCUUGCUGUUGUUCUGCAUCUUUACACACAUACACUGUAACUUAGUUUUGUGGAAUGUAUCCUGCAUAUUAUGCAAUACAAUACAACUUUCAGCAACGGAUCUCUUGGCUCUCGCAUCGAUGAAGAACGCAGCGAAAUGCGAUAAGUAAUGUGAAUUGCAGAAUUCAGUGAAUCAUCGAAUCUUUGAACGCACCUUGCGCCCUUUGGCUAUUCCGAAGGGCAUGCCUGUUUGAGUAUCAUGAACACCUCAACUCUCAUGGUUUGCCAUGAUGAGCUUGGACUCUGGGGGUCUUGCUGGCUCAUGGUCAGCUCCUCUUAAAUGAAUCAGCCUUCCAGUGUUUGGUGGCAUCACAGGUGUGAUAACUAUCUACGCUUGUGGUGUCCUCCCAGGUAACCUUCGAGCAUGGAGGUCGCUGGAGCUAAUAAAUGCACAUCUCUCAUUGUAGAGAUGGCUUUUUAGAUGUUUGAUCUCAAAUCAGGUAGGACUACCCGCUGAACUUAAGCAUAUCAAUAAGCGGAGGAAAAGAAACUAACAAGGAUUCCCCUAGUAACUGCGAGUGAAGCGGGAAGAGCUCAAAUUUAAAAUCUGGCG